This 203-nucleotide unclassified non-coding RNA is filed under the name uncultured Serendipita. RNAcentral describes it as "partial internal transcribed spacer 2". Lineage: Eukaryota; Fungi; Basidiomycota; Agaricomycetes; Sebacinales. The record is from RNAcentral.
UAAUCUCACUACAAUCACUUUAUUGUCGUUUGUAUGUGGACCUGGAUGUUGCCGUGUAACAAACGGCUCGUCUGAAAUGCCUGAGUGUACCCUGCUUUGCGGCGUAUUCGGUGUGAUAAAUCUUCACCGGAGUUGACUUUCGGGUCGCGUCUGCUUAACAUGGCUCUAUGCUUCCAACCGUCCUAACAAGACAACCUUUGACA